GGUUGCGAUCAUACCAGCACUAAUGCACCGGAUCUCAUCAGAACUCCGAAGUUAAACGUGCUUGGGCGAGAGUAGUACUAAGAUGGGUGACCUCUUGGGAAGUCCUCGUGUUGCACCCC
RNAcentral lists this ribosomal RNA (119 nucleotides) under Ricinus communis (castor bean). The record is from RNAcentral. Lineage: Eukaryota; Viridiplantae; Streptophyta; Magnoliopsida; Malpighiales; Euphorbiaceae.